This 521-nucleotide ribosomal RNA is filed under the name uncultured Pedobacter sp. RNAcentral's name for it is "bacterial SSU rRNA". It matches the Rfam family "Bacterial small subunit ribosomal RNA", at positions 8 to 526 of the family's 1533-position model. Lineage: Bacteria; Pseudomonadati; Bacteroidota; Sphingobacteriia; Sphingobacteriales; Sphingobacteriaceae. The record is from RNAcentral.
AGAGUUUGAUCCUGGCUCAGGAUGAACGCUAGCGGCAGGCCUAAUACAUGCAAGUCGGACGGGAUUUGGGAGCUUGCUCCUGAUGAGAGUGGCGCACGGGUGCGUAACACGUAUGUAACCUACCUUAAUCUGGGGGAUAGCCUCUCGAAAGAGAGAUUAACACCGCAUAACAUUACGUCAUAGCAUUUUGGUGUAAUCAAAUAUUUAUAGGAUUAAGAUGGGCAUGCGGAACAUUAGCUAGUUGGUAAGGUAAUGGCUUACCAAGGCAACGAUGUUUAGGGGAUCUGAGAGGAUGGCCCCCCACACUGGUACUGAGACACGGACCAGACUCCUACGGGAGGCAGCAGUAAGGAAUAUUGGUCAAUGGGCGCAAGCCUGAACCAGCCAUGCCGCGUGCAGGAAGACGGCCCUAUGGGUUGUAAACUGCUUUUGUACCGGAAUAAACCCUUUUACGUGUAGAAGGUUGAAUGUACGGUAAGAAUAAGGAUCGGCUAACUCCGUGCCAGCCGCCGCGGUAAUAC